This 434-nucleotide ribosomal RNA is filed under the name uncultured Clostridiales Family XIV bacterium. RNAcentral's name for it is "bacterial SSU rRNA". It matches the Rfam family "Bacterial small subunit ribosomal RNA", at positions 341 to 792 of the family's 1533-position model. Lineage: Bacteria; Bacillati; Bacillota; Clostridia; Eubacteriales; Clostridiales Family XIV. Incertae Sedis. The record is from RNAcentral.
ACGGGAGGCAGCAGUGGGGAAUAUUGCACAAUGGGGGAAACCCUGAUGCAGCGACGCCGCGUGAGCGAAGAAGUAUUUCGGUAUGUAAAGCUCUAUCAGCAGGGAAGAUAAUGACGGUACCUGACUAAGAAGCCCCGGCUAACUACGUGCCAGCAGCCGCGGUAAUACGUAGGGGGCAAGCGUUAUCCGGAUUUACUGGGUGUAAAGGGAGCGUAGACGGCAAGGCAAGUCUGAUGUGAAAACCCAGGGCUUAACCCUGGGACUGCAUUGGAAACUGUCUGGCUCGAGUGCCGGAGAGGUAAGCGGAAUUCCUAGUGUAGCGGUGAAAUGCGUAGAUAUUAGGAAGAACACCAGUGGCGAAGGCGGCUUACUGGACGGUAACUGACGUUGAGGCUCGAAAGCGUGGGGAGCAAACAGGAUUAGAUACCCUGGUA